RNAcentral lists this long non-coding RNA (12906 nucleotides) under Manihot esculenta (cassava). RNAcentral describes it as "long non-coding RNA (MESC_LNC003822)". The record is from RNAcentral. Lineage: Eukaryota; Viridiplantae; Streptophyta; Magnoliopsida; Malpighiales; Euphorbiaceae.
GGACUAAGAACACAUAAAUGAUACUGAUCAAUGCAAAAGGUGAAGUCAUCACAGCGAGAUCAAAGGUUGAAACGCUUGUGGUAUAAUUGCUUAAGGAUUGGUAGCUGAUUCAGGUUUGGUGUCUUUGGAAGGGAAUGUGGACUUUGGUAACUCAGGCAAGUGGGGAAAAGUUGGCAGUUCAGGUUUUGGCAACUCAGGCAAGUGGGGAAAAGCUGGCAGUUCAGGCUUUGGAAACUCAGGCAAUUCAGGUUUUGGCAGCGUGGGAAUUUCAGGCUUCGACAACUCAGGCAAUUCAGGUAAUUUUGGCAGAGUGGGAAGUUCAGGUUUAGGAAAGGUUGGGACUUCAGGUAAUGGUGGAAGCUCAACCUUAGGAAGUAAUGGCAAGUCAGGCAAUUCAGGCUUAGGAAGCUCCGGGACCUCAGGUAAUGUUGUCUCUAGAAGCUGUCGUGCUUCUGCAGAGAUUGACAGAGCAACGAGUGAGAGCAGAACAAUGAGUGAAGGGGAGCGAAGAUUGGCCAUAACUAUGCAACAAGAUCAAUCAGCUGUAAAUACAAUUUAUCCUCACUUUUGUUUUGUGUGUGUUGAUGUUCACUUGUGUUGAGCUUUUAUAGAAGUGGGAAGUGAAGAAUGGGGAACUUCCAAAGGUGAUUUAGUGGGAAAAGUUGUGUUAGCUCAACUUCCCACCCAUAAGACUCCCACUGUUGGCAUGACCAACUAUAGACUUCCUUACAAGUGUAACCUUGCUAUCUUUCUAUAUGGAGUCCAGAGAUUGGUUAGAUUGAUAAUAAGCUAAAAUAUGGUUCUCACUUGUAAUCAUUCUCAGAAAUCAGAACACUUGUGAAGUUCAAGCUUUUUCACCUAUUUAAUAAUUCACUUCUUUCCUGUUCUACCUACAAAAGAUGAGAUUCUGAAGAAUGGUUCUUCUUUAGUUACUUUAAAAUAAUGUUCAACGAAGAUAGCCUCAUCUGCAAAGUUGGCCAACCUACACACUAAACUUUGACAUGUCUUUCUUUUUAUUGAAGCUCUGACUGAUCUUCACAUCACAUCCAAUUAUCCACAAGGUACUCUUCUAUUUGAAAUUAAGAAUUUUAUUAAAAAUUAAUUCAAUUGAUUUCUUUUAUAUCAAUCUCUUGGUUGGAAUGAGAUUCAAUUUUUUUGACUUAUAAAAUUUUCAUAUUAAAAAAAUUGAAACCAUGUGUAUUCUUGUAAGAAUUUAUUUAUAUUCUUUUUUUUUUCAAACUGAAUCAUUGCAAACAAAAGGACUAUAUAAGGUAGUAUAUAUGAUUCUCAGUUGUAAUUAUAACAGUUCAAAAUAUGUCUAAUCACAUUAGUUUCGGUAGAUCUUCAACAAACUGAAAAUUACUAAUGUUUACAACGGAAUCUGUCUCAGCAAUAUGUAAUCUCCAUAUGCUUUUUUAGUUUUCAGAAACCUUGUAAUUUUUACAGAAUAAAGGAAUUUUACCAUUACGGGUGUAACAUCUAGUUAAACUCCGAUGUCGGAAUCUCAACGUUCUGACGGAAUCUCCGUCGAGAUCCAGAAUCUCGAAGCUAAAAUUUUUAGAAGGAUAAAAUAGAGUUUUCAUAAAAUGAAUUAAAAAUUUUUCUUGGUGUGUUUUAAAAAAAAAUAAAAAAUUUAGAGGAGUUUUAAAGUUCGGCCGCCGAAGACGGCUCUUCCAGCCACUUAUAAAAGGCCUUCAACCCAAAAAUAUGAGAACUCUUUCUCUAUUUUCGAGCAGAGGUAAGUCCAUGCCCUUUUCCAGACAUUCUUGCUAAAAUUACUUCAAAUCUCUUGGAGAAUACAUGAGUUUUUACUUCAUUUUUUAAGAUUUGAGUUUGGAUUUCAAGCUUUAAACUUUGGAGACCUCCGAAAAUCGAUUUCCCAAUUCUCCAAAUCUUGGUUGUUGUGUUUUCUAUGUUUUUCAAGAGGUAAGUUCAAUCUUUGCUUUUCUUAUGCUUUUUGAAGGUUUUAAACCGAUAUUAUAAGUUGUUAGGACAUGCAUGAUUGAUUAUUCUAAAGUUUUAAAGUUUGAGUUAGUUUUGAUGAUGGAUGAUUUUCUCCUGGGAUUUUGUUGAUGCAUGUUGAGUUUAGAACAGUUUUUGAGGUCUCUUAUGCGUGUUAAGUGUGUAUGGUAGUCUUUAGCCUGUUGCAUGUAAGUUUGGGUUUGUUUAUUGGCUAUGAGCAUAGGGCAAAAUCAGGUUCUGCCUUACUGGAGAUCCUAGGUUCAGCCGCUGAAGCAAGGUUCGGCCACCAAAUCUGUCUGUAGAGGCAGCCAUUUGGCCACCUAACCUGCCGCUGAAAGUCCUCUGUUCAGCCUUUUUCAGCUUGUUUCCUACGUGUGUUCUUGUAUGUUCUUAGGGGUUUUCUUGAGGGUAGUUUAAGUAUUGUAAUAGUUAUGUUUGGUUCCUCAUUUAAAUCCAUCUAUGUAGGAUCGGACUUUGGAGACUGUAGAGGCUUGCAGUGAGAUAACUGCUUCAGUACUAGGCGUGCAUCAGUCAAAGGUGAGUAGAACUGAACUGAUAUAUUAUUUUAAAGAAAUCAAACUUUUUAAGCAUACUCAUACAUCACGAAUGUCAUGUAUAUACGAUUAGGUUGUUUUGCAUUAGAGUUCACGAAUAUAAUACAUUGCAUAAAUUAUUGUUGUUGUGGAUGGACGUUGGAUGACCCACUAGCCCUCGAGUAUGUUAUGAUAUGUUAUGAUGGAUAUGGAAAGACUAGGGUUGCCUAUUCUACGCCUCUGGCACUAUGUAAGGGAAAGACCAGGGCUGCCCAUUCUAUGCCCCUUGCACUAUGGAUAUGUUAUGUUAUAUUUAAGAGGAAAACCUGAGGAGCACUCGUCGUGGGCCGAGCACUAUUGAAAUCUGUAGAGGGUUACUGAUGACAAGUCCAUUUUGAUGUAAAUUGUUUGUGCUGUGAUGCAUUCAUACAAUCAUAUAUUUUAUUGAACUGUUUUUUUAUGUUCUGCUCACUAGACUCUUAUAGUUUAUCCCCUUUCCCCUAAUCCCAGGUUUGCAGGAUCAAAGUUAGCUCGGGAAGUCGGCUGAGUUGCUGGUAUAGCCUAUUGUAAUAGUAUAGCUAUGGAAAUAUAUUCAUUUGUGGAUUAGAAUUGUGCUUUGCCCGGGUUCUUCCUUGUAAUCCUUGUUUCAUGAUCAUUUUAUAUAAAAGUUUUUAAGUAUAAGUUUAUGUUUAAAUCGAGCUUGAGGCAUGUUAUGUCACACCCAUUCUCAAAACUGUGGAGAUGGAUAUGACCCGAAAAACUGACAGAACUUCCCCUGUUGUUAAUACAUAUAACUCAUAUGACCUGCUAUAAUUUCAAAAUAUAAAACAUAUAAGAGAUGAUUGAUAGCUAGACUGGUCAAUACAUAAUAUAUUUACAAUAAACAAAACACGUUCAUCAUUUGAAUUUACAAUCUAUACAUAAUCUGUCAAAAUUACAAAAAGAAAAGACAAGACCUAGGAUUGGUCCGACCUCCUCUAGACUCUGAGUGGACGAUGUGGAAGGAAUAACAAACUAGGAGAUGAGGACUGCUGAGCGGAUCACCAAAAAAAAACUGAAUAUUAAAAGAAAUAAGAGUGAGUACAACAUAUUCAGUGAGUGGAUAAAUAAAUAACAAAGGGGAAAAGAUAAGUUUAGGUAAUUAAUAGUACCAAAUAUUUAGCUAAAAUAAGUCAGCUGAAUAAAUACAAUUUAAUUCCUAGGCCUGGGCCUUAUAUGUUAUGUUGACCAUACCGAAGCAUUUGAUGAGGGCUCUAGUAUAGGUUUUAUGUUUUCAGUUACGAUGCAUGCACAAGUCGAGUCUUGGUUCAUGUAAUAAUUAUAUUUUUGUUGUUUGUAUGAUCAUGCAUGGAAUUAUAUCAUAUGUAAUAGGAUGUAUAGUAUGCUUGCUGUGGGCUCCAGUGACCUUAAGUCGAUUUGAACCCUAGCACCGGUAGUGGUCUGGUUCCCGGGUCGUUACAGAGUGGUAUCAAAGCCCUAGAUUCAUAUGACUGGGCCUAGAGUGUUGGGCUCAUAGAUGUUAUAGAGGGCAAAUACAAUUAGGAAAUAUUAUAUCCACUAGGAUAGAAUGUAGAGUCUUGUCAUGAUAUAUGUGAUAACCUCCAGAUCUUUCCUAGCCCAGGAAUAAGGUCGGGUCCAAAAGAAGGCACAGGUCCAAAGCCCAUCAGAUCAUACGCUCGAGAGGCGGCUCGACUUCACGAGCCUGGGCCGGCAACCCAGGAUGAUCCGGAUCAGAUAUGAGCACAAGCCCCAUAAGGGAGUAGGCCCAAUCACUCACCAGCUCUACCCGCAUGCUCUCUGGAGAGCAUUAAAUGGCCGUUACGCAUGGAGCAGGUGCCUGACACGCCCGUAUGUACGGGCCUGAGUGACAAGGACAGGAAGCACUAUAUAUCGGGGGGUCUCCUCUUGCAAGGGGGAUCUUCUUCUUUUUCUUCUCCUGCCUGGACUCCAUUUUUAUUUUCUCUGCAACUCUUGCCUAGAUAUACUACUCUUAUUCAUGAAACCUGACUUGAACGUCGGAGGGUCUCCGCUGGGGCAUCCCGGUGGACCCUUGACCAUUUUUCCUUAUUUUGCAGGUCCCUUUCUCAGAUAGAACAUGGAGAGACCCAUUUGACAGAUUCGUCUGGGAGCCCAAGAAGGAAUCAGAUCCACAUAAGAGGGGGCGAGGGAGGACCAGAUCUAACAAAUAUGGAGCCCAGGGAGAUUUAAAGUUAUCAAUAUGUAUAAUGAUGUAUAAUGUCAUGACUAUAUACAUGUGCAUUGAUGAUAUGAUAGGUAUGAUGUGGGUUCAUGUGUAUCCACAUGAACCAUAUGAUGCUAAUGCCUAUAUGUUUAAAUGAUUUUUCAGAAGACAGAAUGCAUGGCUUAUGUCGAUCUGUACGAUUGACUAGAGUCCCAUCCGAAAAAUGAGGGUAUAGACGCCCUUCCUCCUGCUGCUCCGUCAAGAGUGCGGUCAAGUAGAAAUAACAAGAAUGAAAAGUCAAGAGACCCUAUAAUGUCUUUUAAUAUAAACAAAAAGAGAACAGAUCCGAGUAGGAUGUUUGCAGAUGCCAGAAAAACAGUAGGAAAUGAUUAGAGGAGAGAUAGAAGUUUGGGUAUGAGUUUUGAAGUAGAGGGUGUGGGAGAGUCUGAAAGAGGAACAGAAGGCGUCAGACCAUAGGAUCCGCCUAUCCACCUCAGUACCAACCCUAUGCACAGGAACUCGGGUAUCCGAUGGAAAGUACAACAGAUUACUCUAGCUACCACCCAUACCCCUCAUUCAUACCCUAUCCUCCUUGCUAUUCAUUAUAUCCACCCUACCCUAUCUUAUGUUUUCGCCUCCUCCCCAUUACUAGAAUUUGGCAAACUCUAACUCAGGAAAUGUUGCACCACCUCCUCCUCCAGCAAAACCAGCUAGAAAAAAGUUUUUAUACCCAGAUAGAAAAAAGUUUUUUCUUCAAACUAUAUCAUUCAUUUUAUUUUAUUUACAAUUUUAAUUAAAUCAGUUUUUGAUAAUUUUUCAAAAAAUUAAAUUUGAAAUAAAACAGAUAUUUUUUUUAAAAAUUUUAGGACAUUAAUAAUUUUUAACUUUGAUUAGCAAUUUAUAAUAUUAAACAUUAUACUUUUUAAUUAACAACAAUUCCAUUUAAUUUUCUAAGUUCAGUAAUUCUCUUUAUGGCCCUGAACUAUUUAAUAAGAUUGAUGAGGGUCAUAGCAAAAACCAAAUAAAUAAACUGGAUCAAUUUUGUAUAUAGAAUAUAAACAUACAACGUACAUCAUACAAAAGCUGAAACAAAAAUAUUAUAGGACUAAAACUCACUUCAAAUUUAAGCAUGCAUAUAUAUAACAUAUGAAUCAGACACUUAAGAACACAUAAAUGAUACUGAUCAAUGCAAAAGCUGAAGUCAUCACAGCGAGAUCAAACGUUGAAACCCUUGUGGUAUAAUUGCUUAAGGAUUGGUAGCUGAUUCAGGUUUGGUGUCUUUGGAAGGGAAUGUGGACUUUGGUAACUCAGGCAAGUGGGGAAAAGUUGGCAGUUCAGGUUUUGGCAACUCAGGCAAGUGGGGAAAAGCUGGCAGUUCAGGCUUUGGAAACUCAGGCAAUUCAGGUUUUGGCAGCGUGGGAAUUUCAGGCUUCGACAACUCAGGCAAUUCAGGUAAUUUUGGCAGAGUGGGAAGUUCAGGUUUAGGAAAGGUUGGGACUUCAGGUAAUGGUGGAAGCUCAACCUUAGGAAGUAAUGGCAAGUCAGGUAAUUCAGGCUUGGGAAGCUCCGGGACCUCAGGUAAUGUUGUCUCUAGAAGCUGCCGUGCUUCUGCAGAGAUUGACAGAGCAACGAGUGAGAGCAGAACAAUGAGUGAAGGGGAGCGAAGAUUGGCCAUAAUUAUGCAACAAGAUCAAUCAGCUGUAAAUAAAAUUUAUCCUCACUUUGUUUUGUGUGUGUUGAUGUUCACUUGUGUUGAGCUUUUAUAGAAGUGGGAAGUGAAGAAUGGGGAACUUACAAAGGUGAUUUAGUGGGAAAAGUUGUGUUAGCUCAACUUCCCACCCAUAAGACUCCCACUGUUGGCAUGACCAACUAUAGACUUCCUUACAAAUGUAACCUUGCUAUCUUUCUAUAUGGAGUCCAGAGAUUGGUUAGAUUGAUAAUAAGCUAAGAUAUGGUUCUCACUUGUAAUCAUUCUCAGAAAUCAGAACACUUGUGAAGUUCAAGAUUUUUCACCUAUUUAAUAAUUCACCUCUUUCUUGUUCUACCUACAAAAGAUGAGAAUCUGAAGAAUGGUUCUUCUUUAGUUACUUUAAAAUAAUGUUCAAUGAAGAUAGCCUCAUCUUCAAAGUUGGCCAACCUACACACUAAACUUUGACAUGUCUUUCUUUUCGUUGAAGCUCUGACUGAUCUUCACAUCCAAUUAUUCAAGUUAAUCUUCUAUUUGAAAUUAAGAAUUUUACUAAAAAUUAAUCCAAUUGAUUUCUUUUAUAUAGAUCUCUUGGUUGGAAUGAUAUUCAAUUUUUUUUUAACUUAUAAAAUUUUUAUAUUAAAAAAAUUAAAACUAUGUGUAAUCUUGUUAGAAUUUAUUUGUAUUAUUUUCUUUCAAACUGAAUCAUUGCAAACACAAGGACUAUAUGAGAGAGUAUAUAUAAAUCUCAGUUGUAAUUAUAACAGUUUAGAAUAUGUCUAAUCACAUUAGUUUUGGUAUAUCUUGAACAAACCGAAAAUUACUAAUGUUUAUAACGGAAUCUGUCUCAACAACAUCUAAUCUCGAUAUGCUUUUCCAAUUAAUCUCGAUAUGCUUUUCCAAUUUUCAGAAGCCUUAUAACUUUUACAGAAUAAAAGAAUUUUACCACGGAGAGUUCAUUUAAUCUUUGAUUUGAUUUGAGUAAAAAUAAAUAAAUUGAAUUAAAUCAAACCAAAUUUUGAAGAGUUCAAACUUAUUUUUUAAAUUUUUUUUAAGUUUGAGUUUCAUUUUGAACUUGAGCCAAGUAUUAAUAAGCUUAAAUUUGGCUCAUUUAGCAAACGAAUUUAGAUAAAUCGAAUUUUUAUCGAGUUUAGUUUUGAAUAAUUUACGAAAAGUUCAAUUUAUUUACAUAUAUAUAUAUAAUAAGAUUUAGUUGAAAACUAAUACGUUUAAAACUAAAUAAUUUUAGUUAAAUAAGUAUAUAUAUAAAUUAGCUUUUAAAAUUAUAAAGGAUGAGUUUUUAAAUUUUAAUGAUUCAAAUAUCUAUAAAUUUUAAAAGUAUAAUUAAACUAUGCAAGUUGAACUUUAAAAAACUUAGAUCUGAUUCAUGAAAAUAUAUACAAAGUAUAAUUUAGUUCUCUUAUAAUAUUACUUUCCGUAUGCUUAUUUGAGACCGUUUAUAAGUUUGUUCGCGAGCUUGCUCAUAAAUUCGAAAAUGAGCUGAAUUCGUGAGUCUUAAAGAGUCUAAUACAAAUGAAUCUGAAAAUUAAGUUCAAUCUUGAUUCAUUUAGAAAUCAAGUUGAGUUUGAUUGAACUUUUUAUCGAAUUGAACUUUCAAUAAUUCACGGACAAUUUAAUCCAUUUACACCACUAAUAGUUAUUUAGGGUCAGAUAUAAUUGCGCUCUAUAAUAGUAGAACUAAAGAGUUGGUUCUAUUAAUUACCACAGAGCCAAUCUAUUAUUGGUCGUUGAUAGAUGCGCAUUGUGGGAGUAACCCUAAUGGAAAAAUUAAUUGAUUGAAAGCUUACUUUGUAGUCAAUAAAUUACCACUAAAAUAUGAGCUUGAUUACAAUAAUAUUUUGACUCAAAUGGCUAAAAUUUUAUCAAUUCGUCUUCUUGUCUCCUUAACAACAUCCACAUCAUUGGCCUCUUUAUUGAAUAGAUAAAAAAAAUUACUUUUUAUACGAAGAACUUAUAAAGAAAGUUCUUAUAAAGCAAUCAUCAGACCAUCAGAGUUUGUUGCUGAGAGGAUCAGGCAUGGUAUGCCAUUUAUGACAAAUACCACACGGGUUAAAAGUAGCCUGUAAGGAUGUUGUUUGGAUAGUUUAGUAAUGGGAUCCAACAGAUUAGGAUGUGUAGGAGUGAAGCCUAAUGUGCCCCUUAUAUGGGUCAUAGGCAAUCCUCCCCCUUGAGCUAGCUUUUGGGGUGAGUUAGGCCUGGCCCAAAUUUAACUUGGUAUCAAAGCCUCCCCAUCCGAUGUUGGGCCUCCCAUAAAUGUGUCACGCACCAGUAAAAUUCUGGGCGUGAGGGGGGUAUGUUGAAUCCCACAUCGGUUGUGGAAAGGGGUAAUGUGCCCCUUAUAUGGGUCAUAUAUAUAUAUAUCAUUAAAUAAAGCAUAAUUCUUGUAUAGAUUGAGUCUAUACGGACAUGUAGUAUAAAUUAUAUGUGAUUUGUUAUAGCUGUCACUACUAUUUUAUAUUACAGUCUGAUGACUGCUGGAUUUCUUCACCCCGACCUAAAGGCCAGGCCCCUGAAAACAGUCCAUAAUCCGAAGGCUUCAAUAUUCCCCUCGAGAGCCAGGUCUAGCCCGCUCAGUCACAGGGCCGGACUCUGCCUAGACUCCUCAAUCAAGCCGGCCCAAACCUCUCGGCCCAAUAAUCAGGCCCUCACCAGGCUCAACUUCAGCCCUACCAUUCAACCCAGCCCAGAAAGAGGAAAAUGACUAACCUGCCCCGCUGAUGGGUCCUUCCGCAUGCGUAUCAGAGGAGAAUUAAUGGUCGUUACGCAUGGAGCAGGCGCCUGACACAUCCGUACAUACAGAGCUGGGCGGCAGAAGACAGCUAGCAUUGUGGCAGAGAGACAGAUAUAUAUAUUACAGUAGAGGCCACGCAAAAGAGGGGGCUCUCUCUUCUUCUUCCUUCUCCUUCCUGGACACCAUUUUUAUUCUUUCUGCAACCCUUGCCUAAAUAUACUACUCUGAGCCAUAAAAUCUGACUUGAGCGUCGGAGGGCCUCCACCGGGGCACCCCCGGUAGGCCCCUGACCAUUCUUUCUUAUUUUACAGGUCCUUUCACCAGGUAAAACAUGGAGAGAUCCAUCAGGGAGCCCAGCAAGAAGGGACCCAGAAGAAAACCAGAUCUAUCAUGGACCAGGAAGAGGAAAAAAUUUAUCACAGUCCAUAUAAAACCGGUGUAGAUAAGUUUUUGCCCUUCAAGGAAAAUUGGUAAAAGAAUAUAAUUAGUAAAUUCUUUCAAUUUUUAGUAUAUGGAAAAUAAUUAUCACCCAUGAUUGAAUUAUUGGACAACAUCAUCAAAGAGAACUCUAGCAAAGUCCUUUCGUAUUUUCAUAUUUUCACUCUGUACCGAAUAAUUUUUGUUUUUUUUUUUUAAAUGAGAAUUGGAGAUUAGGAGAGUAGAACCUAAGCUUGUAAAUGCAGAUUGAAUAGUCUUAUAAUUGAAAUAUCUAAAUAAAAUCAUAAACAAAAUGAAUUUUAACUCAGAUCUUAACAAAUUAAUAUAAUAAUCUCAAUUUGAUCUAGUGUAUCUUUUGAUUUACAGUUUUUUAAGUCAAAUGUCAAUGAUAAAUUUAAAAUUUUAGUAGUUUUUUUCUCGUAACUCUAUUCCUAUUAUUAGAAUCUCUCUUUUACCGAAAAAUUCUUCAUAGUUAUGGAGGAAAAAUUUUUCUUUUUCUUGAAAAACUUAUCAUUUAUUUUAUUUUAUUUAUAAUUUUAAUUAAAUCGGUUGUUCAUAAUUUUUCAAAAAUUUAGAUUUGAAAUAAAAUAUAUUUUUUUUAAUUUUAGGCCAUCAGUAAUUUUUAAGUUCAGUGACUCAUAAUAUUAAAUUUAUAUUUUUUUAAUUCACAACAAUAUUUUAAUUUUUAAGUUCUGUAAAUUCUUGUGGCUCUGUGUGAAUGUGCUUGGAUCAUGAACUAUCAAUAAGAUUCAUCACAAUCAUACCCAAGAUCAAGAUCAAAUAAAUAAGCUGAUCAACUCUGCAAAUAGAAUAUAAACUGUACAUCAUACAAAUAUUUGAAAUAUAAAGAUUACAGGACUAACAUCCACUCCAAAUUUAAUCAUAUAUAUAUGUAAUCAAUGAUACUGAUCAAUGCGAAAGAUGAAGUCAUCACUGUGAGAUCAAACAUCGAAACAUUUAUGGUAUAGUUGUUUAAGGACUGGGAGUUGAUUGAGGAGGUUUUGUGUCCUUGGCAAGGAAUGUGGGCUUUGGUAACUCUGGCAAGUGGGGAAAAGUUGGCAGUUCAGGUUUUGGUAACUCAGGCAAUUCAAGUUUUGGCAAAGUGGGAAUUUCAGGCUUUGGCAACUCAGGCAAUUCAGGUUUUGGCAGUGUGGGAAGUUCAGGCUUAGGGAAGGCUGGGACUUCUGGUAAUGGUGGAAGCUCAACCUUAGGCAGUGAAGGCAAUUCAGGCUUGGGAAGCUCAGAUACCUCAGGCAAUGCUGUUUUUAGAAGGUGUCGUGCAUCUACGGAUUGACAGAGUGAUAAGUGAGAGCAUAAUGAUGAGGGAAGGGGAGCGAUGAUCGGCCAAAAUGCGACAAGAUCAACCACCUGCAAAGUGAAUAGUAAUUAAAAUUUCUGGACAAUUUUGUUUUGCGUGUUGAUGUUCACUUAGUGUUGAGCUUUUAUAGAAGUGGGAAGUGGAGAAUGGAGAACCUUCAAUGGUAAUUUGGUGGGAAAACUUGUGUCCUGUUAGCUCAACUUCCCAUCUAUAAUCCUCCAACAACUGGCAUGACCCAUUAUAGGCUUCCAUACAAAAGUAAUCUUUCCGUCCUUCUACAUGGAUUCAAGAGAUUAGUUGGAGAGAACCACAGCUAAAAGAUUGACAUUAAGCUAAAAUAUGUUGUCAGAAAUCACAACACUUGUCAAGUUCAAGCAUUUUUACAAAUUUAAUAAUUCACCACCACUAAACUUUGACAAAUCUUCCUUUAUUGCAACGCUUAUUGUUAUUGUUGGAAUUUAAUGACUGACCGAUCCAAAUCUCCAUGCGAUGAAAGUGUUGAAUUCCAAUUUAAUAUGAUGGCCUCUUCUAAAAUACUUCUAGACAAUUUAAAUUAAAUUUCAAUUAACUUAUCAUAUUAUAAAGCUUAUUAUUAUCAAUGUCAAGACUACGUUAUGAAAAAUAUCUUUCAUAUUUUUUGUUAUUUGGAAUAAUGAGAAAAAUUAAUCAAUAAAAAUAUUUUCUUGAUUAAAGAAAAAAUUAAAUCAUUUUAAAAAAAUACUGCUUCUUGGCUCUUUCUUUCUCAUCAAUUCUAUUUUCCUGUUGUGCUCUUCCAACAAAUCCAUAGUCACCAACUUGCCCUUUGAAAUUUAAAUUAUUGGACGACAUCAUCAACGAGAAUUCUAGCAAAGUUCUCUAAUAUUUUCUUCAUCAAUGUUGAAUUUUGAGAGGGAAGGGGAAUAAUACAUAUGAAUGCGACUAAAUAGUCUUACAAUUUUAUUGAUUGUAUUGUUAUUUAUACAGUCAAAUAUAAUUAAAAAAUCUAAAUAAAAUUAUAAAUAAUUUAAAUAUUAACUUAAAUAUUAAUAAAUUAAAAUAAUGAUUCAAAUUUAAAUUAUAUGAUUUAGCAUAUUUUUCGGUUUCUAAAUCAAAUAUCCAACGAUCAAUUUAAAAUUUUAGUACUCAUAAGCCCUUGGUAUUAUUAGAAACUCUCUUACUAAAAUUUUUUAAUAAUUAUAAAUAAAAAAGUUUUAUUUUUCUUUCAUAAUAUUAGAAAUAAAACCAUAUCAUUUAUUUUAUUUAAUUUGUAAUCGAAUUAAAUCGGUUGUUCAUGAUUUUUUGAAAAAUUAGAUUUAAAAUAAAAUGGAUAAUUUUUUAAUUUUAGGCCAUCAAUAAUUUUUAAGUUCAGUAAUUCAUAAUACUAAAAUUUUUUAAAAAAAUUCACAACAACAAUUUAAUUUUUAAGUUCAGUAAUAAUUUCUCUUUGUGGCUCUGCAUGAAAGUGCUUGGAUCAUGAACUAUUAAAUAAGAUUGAUCAGUCAUACCCAAAAUCAAAUAAAUAAGCUGGAUCAACUCAGUAUAUAGAAAAUGAACUCACAAGAUACAUCAUUCAAACAACUGAAACAGAAAUAUUAUAGGACUACCACUCACUGCAAAUUAAUCAUGUAUAUGUAAAAGAAGAUAUAAAUGAUACUGAUCAAUGCGAAAGAUGAAGUCAUCACUGUGAGAUCAAAUAUAGAAACACUUAUGGUGUAGUUGUUUAAGGACUGGUGGUUGAUUGAGGAGGUUUUGUGUCCUUAGAAGGCAAUGUGGGCUUUGGCAACUCAGGCAAGUGGGGAAAAGCUGGCAAUUCAGGCUUUGGCAACUCAGGCAAUUCAGGUUUUGGCAGUAUGGGAAGUUCAGGUUUAGGAAAGGUGGAGACUUCAGGUAAUGGUGGAAGCUCAACUUUAGGCAAUGAUGGCAACUCAGGCUUGGGAAGCUCAGGUACCUCAGGCAAUUCUGUCUCCAGAAGGUGUCGUGCAUCUACAGAGAUUGAUAGAGUGAUGAGUGAGAGCAUAAUGAUGAGGGAAGAGCGAAGAUCGGCCAUAAUGCUAU